CCUACGGGGGGCAGCAGUGAGGAAUAUUGGUCAAUGGGCGCAAGUCUGAACCAGCCAAGCCGCGUGAAGGAUGACGGCUCUAUGAGUUGUAAACUGCUUUUGUACGAGGGUAAUAUCAGAUACGUGUAUCUGCUUGCAAGUAUCGUACGAAUAAGGAUCGGCUAACUCCGUGCCAGCAGCCGCGGUAAUACGGAGGAUCCGAGCGUUAUCCGGAUUUAUUGGGUUUAAAGGGUGCGUAGGUGGUUUUAUAAGUUAGAGGUGAAAGUUUGGGGCUCAACCGUGGACGUGCCUUUAAUACUGGAUGACUUGAGAAUAGAUGAGGUAGGCGGAAUGUAUGGUGUAGCGGUGAAAUGCGUAGAGAUCAUACAGAACCCCGAUUGCGAAGGCAGCUUACCAAACUAUAUCUGACGUUGAGGCACGAAAGCGUGGGGAGCAAACAGGAUUAGAUACCCGUGUAGUC
This 460-nucleotide ribosomal RNA is filed under the name uncultured bacterium. Its description in RNAcentral is "partial 16S ribosomal RNA". It matches the Rfam family "Bacterial small subunit ribosomal RNA", at positions 338 to 795 of the family's 1533-position model. The record is from RNAcentral.